Molecule: ribosomal RNA, 579 nt
Filed under: uncultured bacterium
Lineage: Bacteria
Description: bacterial SSU rRNA
Rfam family: Bacterial small subunit ribosomal RNA
Source: RNAcentral
CCUACGGGAGGCAGCAGUGGGGAAUCUUGCGCAAUGGCCGAGAGGCUGACGCAGCGACGCCGCGUGGGGGAUGAAGCAUUUCGGUGUGUAAACCCCUGUUGCUCGGGACGAACGAUCCUUUUCGAGGGAUGUGACGGUACCGAGUGAGGAAGCACCGGCUAACUCCGUGCCAGCAGCCGCGGUAAUACGGAGGGUGCGAGCGUUGUCCGGAAUCACUGGGCGUAAAGGGCGCGUAGGUGGUUCGAUGCGCCGGUGGUGAAAGCGCAGGGCUCAACCCUGCGUCGGCCAUCGGGACGGUCGGACUGGAGCACUGUAGAGGCAGGUGGAAUUCCGGGUGUAGCGGUGGAAUGCGUAGAGAUCCGGAAGAACACCGGUGGCGAAGGCGGCCUGCUGGGCAGUUGCUGACACUGAGGCGCGACAGCGUGGGGAGCAAACAGGAUUAGAUACCCUGGUAGUCCACGCCGUAAACGAUGGGCACUAGGUGCUUGGGGGAGCGACCCCCUGAGUGCCGACGCUAACGCAUUAAGUGCCCGCCUGGGGAGUACGACCGCAAGGUUGAAACGUUAAAGGAAUUGACGG